CUCAGUUCAGAUUGCAGGCUGCAACCCGCCUGCAUGAAGUCGGAAUUGCUAGUAAUCGCGGAUCAGCAUGCCGCGGUGAAUACGUUCCCGGGCCUUGUACACACCGCCCGUCACACCAUGGGAGCCGGUAAUACCCGAAGUCAGUAGUCCAACCUCGUGAGGACGCUGCCGAAGGUAGGAUUGGCGACUGGGGUGAAGUCGUAACAAGGUAAC
This 213-nucleotide ribosomal RNA is filed under the name uncultured bacterium. RNAcentral's name for it is "partial 16S ribosomal RNA". It matches the Rfam family "Bacterial small subunit ribosomal RNA", at positions 1287 to 1500 of the family's 1533-position model. The record is from RNAcentral.